This 112-nucleotide ribosomal RNA is filed under the name Streptococcus pneumoniae. The record is from RNAcentral. Lineage: Bacteria; Bacillati; Bacillota; Bacilli; Lactobacillales; Streptococcaceae.
AGGUGAGUAGGGAGGAAGAGGUAAAAGACCCAUGCCGAACACAGAAGUUAAGCCCUAGAACGCCGGAAGUAGUUGGGGGUUGCCCCCUGUGAGAUAGGGAAGUCGCUUAGCU